Molecule: long non-coding RNA, 1443 nt
Organism: Crotalus tigris (Tiger rattlesnake)
Lineage: Eukaryota; Metazoa; Chordata; Lepidosauria; Squamata; Viperidae
Exons: 3
Source: RefSeq, a predicted model, not a curated record
GCUUGGUCUUCGGCAGUUCCAACUUUGGCAAAGGGAAAGGGCGGGGACGGGGCUCAGGCAGGUGCCAAGUGGAGCCUGCCCGUCCUAUCUAGAACCGAGAGUCGGAGGGGAAGCAAGUGAGAGAAAAGACCCUGACAUAAUGUUUGGAAUUCUCUAUCAAGCUGCAAAAUAUCUGGGGAUUAGACUUGUGCUAAGUUUGUACAGGAUGGCUAGAGAUGGGCAGAAAUGUCACCUAUUUCAUGGAACUUUACAGAAGUAAUUUCCCUUUUGAGGAGAGAUGAACAAACUGAAGAUUUUUUUUUUUUAACUGAAGUUCAGAUACUUUGGUGCUGAAUUAAUGGACCUUGAAGAUUUUUUUUAAAGGAACAGAAAAGUAAAUACAAAUGGGAUGGCAAAUGGCAAACACUGACUGCUGAGGAGAGAUUGCUGUUUGUUAGUUUUCUCUGCAGCUGUAAAGCAACUCUUUGGUAGAGGGGAAAAAAACUUUUUAAAACAUCCAAUACAGUUUAAUGUGAAGAACUGUGUCACAACUCAAAUCGAAACUAAUAAUGGGAGGAGCUAAAUGAUAGUACAAGAGGUAUCUCCAUUCCCAACCAAUAUUGCUAGAUUAGAAAAGUAAACAUAUGAACUGCAAGGGUGAGGACAAACGGAACAACUAAGCACAAUGAGCCAUCAUUUCAUGACCUAAAGUUUUUACAAGACAUUUGGUACUCUAGGUCAGCGGUCCCCAAUCUUUGCGGCUUGGUGACCUGGCUUGGGGGAGGGGGAAGAGAGGAACCAGGUCAUGCAAGCAGUGGGCCAGCGUGCACGUGCAAAGCUCCACUUGUUUGAGGACUUGUGUGAGUGGAGCUGUGCGCACAUAUAUACAUACGCACCAGCCUGUCUCUCAGGCAGCCCGGUUCUGAAUAGGCCACAGCCUAAUAGUGGGCCGUGGCUUGGGGGUUGGUGACCCCUGUUCUAGGUAAGUACCAGAAGACAUGUCUACACAAACUGACCAGACUGCAGCUGAAUGCUAGCGACAGAAGAGCAUUUAAUCUUUUUUGCAGAUAUAACAACAGAAGAACAAAAUGGGGAAGGUCUGUCUUCUUCCUUGCUGACACUACCUAUCACACAGUACCUACUGCCUGGGACAGCCAUAAUGCUGUGCUUAACAGAAGGGCAAGGCUCGUAUAUCCAGUUGCAAAAACAGCCAGUGUAACAGAACAGGUUGCUUGGAAGAUAUCUGAUGAUGAAAAAUCAUAGCAUGGAAGUUUCCCGAAUGGGUGUUGGCCGAGUUUGGAAUCUUCAAGACUGCCUAGGAAAGGAUUCCAGAGACAUAAAAAGUGGGAGAAACACAUUCAAAGCCCGUGAAAUACCGUGUGGGACAGCCAUCCACAUUUGUUCUUCAUGUGCAGUAUAGUGAAGUAACAAAAUGGAUAGAAAUAAAAGGUUUUUAAAGCUUUC